CAACAAAGUGAUAUGUCACAUUGCUGAAAUGGAAGUCUCAGCAUGCACAGUCCUCUUUUACUAUGGGUGGAAAACAGUUGAGGUUAGACACCAGCGAAGUUCUUGCUUUUAAGUUUCAGUUUCAGAAGAACAUCUGAGAAAAAACGACCAAGUGAAGCCUUUUCUGGUUUCACACCUAGUAAGUCCUUGAUACUUAGGCCAGCAUCCCAUUCUUGCUGAAUCUGAAAUAGGCAACACCUAACUAUACAGGCUCUCAUCUACUUCCGAAGGCUAAUCCUCCAGGGGCAAGCCAGCAGACGUGGGCAAGUGGUGAUAGCAUCCCUGAGACAGAGGGACUACAAGCUUCACUAUCAUUUCUGACACCAACAAUGAAUUUCGUGGUGGAUGAAACAGCAGCAAUCAACUCAAACAAUGUAUCCCAGCAAUUGGCACAAAAAACGUAUACACUGGAGAAGAAAGAAGCAAUGGAGGAAGAUGAAGCGCCCCAGCACAGAGAUGCUGACAUAGUACAGGGAAAAGGGGAGGCAGCACUGAGGGGAGAAGCAGGAGUUGUUCAUGAGGCUCCCUUGAGGGCGUGGAAGCCAACAGCAGAGCAGCCAGAAUUGGCAGAAGAGUUUACAGAAAAAAGGGAGAUCCCUCCAGGCAUAGAAAGGGGGGCAGAGGCAGCAGCAGAAGCAGAAGGGGCCAGAAGGCUGGGUGAAGGGGGGUCAGACCCCAUAGGACAAGCAGCAGCAAAAGAUGCUGUGGGUCUGAGUAAAGAGGAGGCUCCUGAAAAGCAAGCCUUGAUGCUCACAGUGCUUGAGACAGAGAAAGCAGCUUCUGAAGGGGAACAGGGUUUUGAGAAGGCAGUGCUUGCAAAUAAGGCAGCAGCCCUGAACUCGGAGCAUCUUCAUGAAGUAGCAGCCCUGAGAGAGGCAGCGACAUCGGAGGAGGGAGAGGCUGAGGGUAGGGUGGCUGUGAGUGAUGUCAGAGAAAGUGAAGAGGAAGCAUCCAUAGACCUAGAGGACACAGGACCCAUGGAGGACACAGCAUCAAAGAGAGAGGAUGGUUCUGAAGAGGCAAUUCUUGGGGGAGAGGAACCAGCCAAAGAGAGAAAGGAGGUUAUGAGAACAGAAACACCCUUGAGCCCCUUCACAGGAGACGCAGAGGCAAGCCGGAUGCAGGUUUCGGAGGGCAGCCCUGAAGACCUUUGCAAGGAAGAUGUGGAAGGGGAAGAGAUGGUGACUGAGGCAGAAGCUAAUAGGGAAGAUGAUAACAAAGAAAUGUUACCCAAGGAAUUAGAUGUAGCAAGAGAGCGAAGGAAAGCUGAGAGGCCAAAAACAUCUCUGAGGAAAACUGACUCUGAGAGAGAAGAGGUGACAAGGGCAAAUGCACUCAAGGGUGAAGACGCUUUUAAAGAAGAGCAAAAACUUAAAGCGGAAGAGGGGAAAACAGAGACGGAAGUAAGAUCUGAGAAAGAGACAAAAGCCCCCCCAAAUGAAAUGGGAUCUGAUGCUGAGAACGAAGCACCUGUGGAGGCAUCUGAGUUAUCUGACAAUCCAGGGCUUCUAGGAGAAGAUUCACUAAAAGAGACAGUGGUUCCCAUAUUUGAAGCAACGCCUGGAUUUGAAAAGUCGCUGGAAAACAUAACAGCUCUGAGGAAAGAAGGAGGAGGGGAAAGACUGAGCGAGGCCAGAGACACAGAGCACAAAGACAGAGAAGAGCUGUCCAGCAGGGAGAAUAGGGCUCUGAAGGAGGGGCACCGCCAAGAUGGAGAGGGGGCCUUAGCAGCUCCUGAAGCUGAGCCAGCAGGAAAGGUGCAGGCCCCUGAGGGGCUGAUCCCAGCCACAGGCCAGGCAGAGGAGCUAGCAGCCAAAGAUCACGACUCCUGCGCAGGACUGGAGGGGAGGGCUGAAGGGCAAGAAGGAGUGGAUGUCGUGCUAAGGACCCAGGAAGCUGUUCCUGAGGAAGAUCCCAUAAUGGCAGAAAAGUUCAGGGAGGAAGCUGUGGAUGAGGACCCAGAGGAGGAAGAGGACAAAGAGUGCACUCUGGAGACAGAAGCGAUGCAGGACAGGAACUCGGAAGGGGACGGGGCCAUGCAAGGAGCAGGAAACACAGAAAAGAAUGAGGGUAUGGGAGGAGGAAGGGUUGUGGCUGAGGAAGUUCAACACGCAGGUGGUGAAACGGCAGAAACAGCCGCAGAGGAGAGGGAGGUGUUGGCAGGUUCGGAGACAGCCGAGGAGAAAACAAUAGCAAAUAAAGCCUCCUCCUUUUCAGAUGUUGCUGAGGAAGAAACCUGGCACCAACAGGAUGAGUUAGUGGGAAAAACAGCAGCUGCAGGGAAAAUGGUGGUAGAGGAAUUAGCAAGGAGUGGGGAGGAAGUGCCAGCAGCAGAAAAGAUGACAGUGACAUGUACAACAGAGGCUGGGGUGGGCACUCCAGGAGCCCUGGAAGAGAAGACCUCAGGGCUAGGACAGGAGCAAGAGGGAGGGUCAGAGGGCCAGGAGGCAGCCACUGGGAGUGGCGAUGGGAGGCAGGAGUCGGGAGCAGCUGAAAAAUUCCGAUUAGGAUUAUCACGGGAGGGAGAGAGGGAACUGAGUCCGGAGAGUCUACAGGCGGUGGCAACACUUCCUGUGAAGCCUGAUUUCACUGAAACCCUAGAGAAGCAACAGCAUAUGGUGCAAGGAGAAAGCGAGACUUCAGAUGUUUCUCCCAACAACAUGCAGGUCUAGGAGACUUGCUGGCAGACGGAUAAUUUAAAGAUGUCUUCUGAAGAUGUAAAGAGUGGAGAAAGAUUCACGCAAGCAUCUCACCAGGAUUCUUGAUUUUCUCUCUCUCUUCUUCUUAGUUGCUGGUUGCGCUUGUCUGAGAUGAUUCCCAAUCUGUCAGCCCUGGUCAGUAGCUCAGUAACCACCUUGAGAAUAGCUCAAGUAGAUCUGUAGGACCCUUCUUAGGAGCAGUGGUUCCUCAUGGAGAAACUUGUGAGGCUGUUACACAUUCUACACACCUAACAUUAUUUUCAAACAAAAAUGAUAAUUUUCAAAUGCUUGACUUUUACCAAAGAUCACUGGAAGGCCUGAUGUUAGGGGUUUGUUUAAAGUCCUUUUUAUUGUACAAUACAGAGCCCCAGUCAAUUCCACAAUCUCAAUUUCAUACAUGGGAAUUUUAUUUAAAAAUCUGUGGUUUGGGGCUUUAAUGAACUGGCCUGUGAAAAUGAGCUCUAAAGUUCCUCCCACGUACACUCAAAACUCAAGAUUGCUCCAAAUCUCUAAGUUCUUCCAGCAAAAGAUUUCUUGGCAUGUAUAUUCACUUAUACUUAGAAAUAUUCAUUCUUUUAAUUUAUGCCAGAAUAACAAAGUGGAAAUCUUAUUUCAAAAUGCUCUUUGUUUUUUUUGUGUGUGUUUCUGUAGUUCUGCUUUCUGGGGUAGACUAGUAAAAUGGUAGCUUCCAGCAUUUUGUCCCUGGGGCCUUAUUUAUAGGGCCACUCAAAUUUAAAUAAAAGUAGUAAAUAAUUUAGCUAAGUGGAAUAAGUAUAAUAAUUAUAGUGGUAAGCAUAGCACAUCAGCAUUAUGCCAACAUUCUAGACUCUUUAGUUGAUGUCAUUAAAUGGAAAAGAAACUCGGAUUAAAUGAGUGUGCUGCUCACCUUCCCAAGUUCUGUUAUUUCAAACCUGUGAACUAACCUUGCAGUUCAUUAUAAAUCAACAGUAACAAUUGCAUUCUAAAUUACUCCCUGAUAUUAUUUUCUAGUUGUGUAUCAGCCUGUCUCCUAGGGGUUUUCAUUUCCUUGAAGACAUACCAGUGCCCCAGAGCGCAUGUAUGUAUCUACCAUUUCUCUAUGUGAGAAGGCAAAAAAAAUUUCCUUAAGCAGUGAUUUUCCAGCCAGAAUAUACAUUAGAUUUUCAUGGGACACUUUUAUAAAUGACUCAACCCUUUUCCCCACCCCAGAGAUUCAGAUUUAAUUCAUUUUAGAUGGAUCUAUGCAUCAGCAUAUAUUUUUUUAACUUUUCACUUGAUUCUUCUCUGUAGCCAAGGUUGAGAACCGCUGCUUAAAUCAUCAUAUAAUCCAUGCUGGCCACAUUACACUCAAGGUCCCUAGGGACCAGGCAUAUUAUCAUAAGAGGUAUUUUCCAUUUUAAUGUGUAAUGGAGCCAUUCAAUAAUCAAAAAUACACUGGGCCAGAUAGUAGACUGGUCCCUUGAUCAGAAGCAUCAGCACAUCAAGCAUCACCUGGAAAUUGUUCCCAGCCUUUGUCUCCUACCUACUAAAUUAGAAACUCUUGGUGGGGUCCAGUAAUCCAUAGCUUAACAAGCCCUCCAGAUAAUACUGAUGUACACUGAUGUCUGAAAACUGCUGUCAUGGACUAUUGAUUGUAUUGAGGAUUAGUCUCAGUUGGAAAGCCAACUACAGAGGCAUUUUGAACUUUCUUUCUUUGCCUCUCUAUGUCUCUCUGUCUUUUCCUGUCUUCUGAUUUAUCUGUCUUCCUUUCUCUAGUAAAUGGCACUCAAUAUAAAAGUGGUGAAGUCAAUCUUAAACUUAUUUUUGUUAUGAUUGUAUUGAUACAUGCACGAAGUCCCUCUGCCCUACUCCCUAUUCAAGGAUAUUACUCACUGUACAUCAUAAAUCUCCAUCAUCUGUCUUAAAGUUUUACGAGUAGAUUUCAUCUACAUUAUAUUCAAGUUCAUUUAUUACUGAGCUGUAUUACUGUGGAGCUCUAACAGUAUUUGUUUCCUGAUUUCAAACUCAAUGCUACAGAGCACUUUGAAUACAUCACACCUUAUGGGAAAGAUAGUAAACUUAUUAAUCCCAUUGAAAAAUUAGUUUUGUACAAUGUGCUAAAUGGUAUUGCAUUGGAUUACUUUUAUAUUUAACACACUCCAUCAAAACAUCCUGUAACAGAAUUCUACAAUCUGCAUGUGAUUUUAACUGUGAAAUUCAGUAUUGUGAUAUUUUGAAUAAGUGAAUUCUUUCUCUGCAAAUACUAUGUUGAUAAAAUUACUUGUAUGUUCACCUGAAAUGGUUUGUUUCCUGUUUCUUCAUUAUUAAAACAUAAAUCAAUCAUAUGUUUA
RNAcentral lists this small RNA (5047 nucleotides) under Pongo abelii (Sumatran orangutan). Its description in RNAcentral is "processed transcript". The record is from RNAcentral. Lineage: Eukaryota; Metazoa; Chordata; Mammalia; Primates; Hominidae.